UUUUUUUUUUCCCCCAUUUCUUUUUUGGUUGCUUUCAUGUAAUUGGAAAUUGUGUUUUAGUCUUGCUUCUAUCAAGAAGUAUUCCACCUUUUUUUGGUUGUUGUAGUCAUUGCUUCUGUCAUGAAGCAUUCCAUACCAAAAUACGGUACCUAUCCUUUUCCUAGAUGUGUGUGAUGGAACAUCUACCAUUCGACAAUUCUUGACUUCAUGUUUUGUGAUAACGAGCGAUAAUGUAUGAGAGUUCAUGGUAAAAAGCAGACGGUAAUAUGUGCUACCUAUUGAAUGUACGACCGAGAAUGUUUAUAAAAUAUCAAGAGGGUGUCUGAUCUUGUUGAUCUCAUUUUAUGUACAACUUCAAUCUAGCUCACCCCCAGCUCCAA
RNAcentral lists this unclassified non-coding RNA (380 nucleotides) under Hevea brasiliensis (rubber tree). The record is from RNAcentral. Lineage: Eukaryota; Viridiplantae; Streptophyta; Magnoliopsida; Malpighiales; Euphorbiaceae.